This 562-nucleotide long non-coding RNA is filed under the name Salvia miltiorrhiza (redroot sage). Its description in RNAcentral is "long non-coding RNA (SMIL_LNC007196)". The record is from RNAcentral. Lineage: Eukaryota; Viridiplantae; Streptophyta; Magnoliopsida; Lamiales; Lamiaceae.
CCGCCGCUCCACCGCCCCUCUCUCUUCUCCGCCGCUCUGCCCAUUUCCCUCUCUUCAAUAACUAGGUUUUGGGAUUUUGAAAUUUUUGAAAUUGUUCGAUGUGCUUGCUCUCUCUCUCUCACAGACACACACACACAAACAUGCACAUGAAAUUGUUCUAGCUUUCGUACAGUUCGUGGCAAAUUUUUGAAAUUGUUCUAGCUUUUGUACAGUUCGUGGCCAUGGGAGAACAAUUCCCAGAGUUAAAUUUCAUUUUCAGUAGUUUUUUUUUCUUGUUUUCUUUUGAACUUGGAGUUUUGAGAUUUGAUUUUUGAAAUUUUGUGGAUUUAGGGAUUUUGAAAUUUGGAUCUUUUGGGGCAAUCACCGGCGCCGGAUUUGGGGAAGAUGCCGUCGCCGGAAAAGGGAAGUCAGCUAUGCUUCACAGUUGGUUGAAUUUAGGCUGAGGAGAUGGAGAUGAUUAUUUAAUUAACAAUAACUCUAAACAUCUAAUUCCCUAAAUUCUACUCUUCUUAAUCUCCGUGCCCAAAAGUUUUGUCCCAUAAAUAAUGGGACGGAGGGAGUA